RNAcentral lists this unclassified non-coding RNA (450 nucleotides) under Anadenanthera colubrina var. cebil. RNAcentral's name for it is "sequence contains ITS1, 5.8S rRNA gene, ITS2". The stretch from base 101 to 256 matches the Rfam family "5.8S ribosomal RNA". The record is from RNAcentral. Lineage: Eukaryota; Viridiplantae; Streptophyta; Magnoliopsida; Fabales; Fabaceae.
UGAAAGCCUCCCAAGCCAGGGCACAACACAAACCCUGGUGCCUCAGGCACCAAGAAACCGCAACAAAGCGAGCGCGCCUCACGCCGAUUGCACCCAAAAUAACUCUCGGCAACGUAUAUCUUAGCUCUCAUAUCUAAAAAGAACAGAGCGAAAUAUGAUACUUGGUGUGAAGUGGAGAAUCCCGUGAACCAUGGAGUCUUUGAAUGCAAGUUACGCCCGAAGCCAUUAGGCUGAGGGCACCCCUGCCUGGGCGUCACGUAACGUCGCGGCUACCUGACGCGGGGCGCGGUUGAUGAUGGCCUCCUAGGGGCUCCAUCCCCUGGCUAGCUGAAAUGUUGGCCUCGCGCGAUGGCCGCCACGAUGCCUCGGGUUGUUCAUGAAGAAACGUGCGCGCGUUGACCCACGGGGAGGGCUGAACCCCGAAUCCCACAGCAACCCCAGGUCAGGCGG